RNAcentral lists this ribosomal RNA (305 nucleotides) under uncultured bacterium. RNAcentral's name for it is "bacterial SSU rRNA". It matches the Rfam family "Bacterial small subunit ribosomal RNA", at positions 333 to 637 of the family's 1533-position model. The record is from RNAcentral.
AUAUCCUACGGGAGCAGCAGUGAGGAAUAUUGGUCAAUGGGCGGGAGCCUGAACCAGCCAAGUCGCGUGAGGGAAGACGGUCCUAUGGAUUGUAAACCUCUUUUGUCAGGGAGCAAUUGGGUCCACGUGUGGGCUUAGCGAGAGUACCUGAAGAAAAAGCAUCGGCUAACUCCGUGCCAGCAGCCGCGGUAAUACGGAGGAUGCGAGCGUUAUCCGGAUUUAUUGGGUUUAAAGGGUGCGUAGGCGGAAUAUCAAGUCAGCGGUAAAAAUUCGGGGCUCAACCCCGUCGUGCCGUUGAAACUGAU